AUUGAACGCUGGCGGCAUGCCUUACACAUGCAAGUCGAACGGCAGCACGGGAGCAAUCCUGGUGGCGAGUGGCGAACGGGUGAGUAAUAUAUCGGAACGUGCCCAGUCGUGGGGAUAACGUAGCGAAAGCUACGCUAAUACCGCAUACGAUCUAUGGAUGAAAGCGGGGGAUCGCAAGACCUCGCGCGAUUGGAGCGGCCGAUAUCAGAUUAGGUAGUUGGUGAGGUAAAGGCUCACCAAGCCGACGAUCUGUAGCUGGUCUGAGAGGACGACCAGCCACACUGGGACUGAGACACGGUCCAGACUCCUACGGGAGGCAGCAGUGGGGAAUAUUGGGACAAUGGGCGAAAGCCUGAUCCAGCAAUGCCGCGUGACGUGAAGAAGGCC
Molecule: ribosomal RNA, 387 nt
Filed under: uncultured bacterium
Lineage: Bacteria
Description: bacterial SSU rRNA
Rfam family: Bacterial small subunit ribosomal RNA
Source: RNAcentral